UUCGCAAUGCCCGAAAGGGUGACGAAGCGACGCCGCGUGCGGGAAGAAGGCCUUCGGGUUGUAAACCGCUGUCGGGAGUUAAGAAAUGCAAGGGUGUUAACAGCAUCCUUGCUUGACUAAGGCUCCGGAGGAAGCCACGGCUAACUCUGUGCCAGCAGCCGCGGUAAUACAGAGGCGGCAAGCGUUGUUCGGAAUUAUUGGGCGUAAAGAGCACGUAGGCGGCUAUGUAAGUCGGUUGUGAAAGCCUUCCGCCCAACGGGAGAACAGCAUCCGAUACUGCAUGGCUUGAGUGCGGGAGGGGAGAGUGGAACUUCUGGUGGAGCGGUGAAAUGCGUAGAUAUCAGAAGGAACACCGGCGGCGAAGGCGACUCUCUGGCCCGUAACUGACGCUGAGUGUGCGAAAGCUAGGGGAGCAAACGGGAUUAGAUACCCCGGUAGUCCUAGCCGUAAACGAUGGGCACUAAGUAGAGGGGUUUU
RNAcentral lists this ribosomal RNA (477 nucleotides) under Candidatus Brocadia fulgida. RNAcentral's name for it is "bacterial SSU rRNA". It matches the Rfam family "Bacterial small subunit ribosomal RNA", at positions 365 to 832 of the family's 1533-position model. The record is from RNAcentral. Lineage: Bacteria; Pseudomonadati; Planctomycetota; Candidatus Brocadiia; Candidatus Brocadiales; Candidatus Brocadiaceae.